Molecule: long non-coding RNA, 1201 nt
Organism: Cyprinus carpio carpio
Lineage: Eukaryota; Metazoa; Chordata; Actinopteri; Cypriniformes; Cyprinidae
Source: Ensembl
AUGGGAUUAUGCCCUUAUAUGGGUACAGCAAAGAGAUUAAGACAUGACCUGCUUUUCUCACAAUACCUGCAAGUGAGGCAUGAAGCAUCAGUAAUGGUGAUGAAAGCCAUUACGAUCAAUUUUCGUAAGCCCCUGUGUGUUCAAAAACGCAUAGGUGCUGCUUAUUUCCUGGCUGAUUAUUACUGUAAAUUCCUGCUGCCUUUUGUAGGCUGCUUCCUGGCAUGCCGAUUAGCAGGGCGAGAGCCGCGUGAUGAGGAGAGGGAGAGGAGCCGGGCCUGGGAGCCAACUUUCUCCAGAGCUGUGAAUGGAGGAUUAAGCUCAGGGAGCCGGGCAUGGACAGGUGCCCAGCCGAGAUGCAGAGCUUCCCAGGCCGGCAGAAUAAGCUUCGACACCUCCCUAUCUAUUAGAAACAAUUAGGAGCCCACAGCUCCUGGUGCGGACUCAAAAGAACUUCACAUCUCAAGGGCUCAUGGCUGCCUAAGUAGCCGUACUCAAUGAGGAAUGUAGAGGUGGCCCUUUCACACCCGUUAUGUACCUCUCCCGCUCGGUGCCUCUCACUCUCUUUCUCCCUUUUCACAGGAACAAGCAUCUGAUGAAAACCAAAGUUGUCAAAAAAGGGACAGAAUGGCCUGACUGAAUGAGUGUAGGGUGUUUUAUUUUUCCCUUACAUCUUGUCCCAGAGCUGCAAAGUCAUAUUACACCAUCAGUGUCAUUCGCUAGCUGAAUAAGCCAUGGCGAAGUGCCAUGACAUGACCAAAAGCGACAGAAGGUUAGGCCUGAUGCCCCUCUACAGGAGAAAGAUGUGUUAACAAACAGAACAAGAGUACAGCUUGUACCAUCUGUAGUCCAUAGAUAUAAAAAGAACUGAGGAACCGUGAAGCGUUUGCUUUCCCGCCCUCAGCGAAACGUUGCCCGUUUUUGUAAAACAAAUCCAUGCACAGACAGGAUAUGAAAACGAUUUGGUGUAGUUAAUGAUUUAUAAGUGAAACGCGAUACUUCAUUUUCGAAAACGCUUGUGAGAUGUCCCAAGGCAAGCGUGGCUCUGCUGCACUUUUUUCAAUAACAAAAUCCAAAAUGGUAUUCCGCCUACCUAGCGUUUUAGCAUUUGUGAAGAUAUUCAUUGUUCUUCUGGUGGGAACAGGGCUUUUCUUUCCAUUUUCUUCAUUGGCUUUUGAAACUGCAUUCCACACUGAGCCCUCAG